This is a long non-coding RNA of Bos taurus (domestic cattle), 943 nucleotides long. The record is from Ensembl. NCBI's taxonomy places the organism in Eukaryota, Metazoa, Chordata, Mammalia, Artiodactyla, Bovidae.
CGCCCCCACCACACGCCCGGUCCUCCCGCACGCACGCGCCCCCGGCUGCCCUCGCGUCUUGGCGCCCGCAACCCCGCGCGUGAGUCGUCGGUCGGUGGAGCGCACGGGAACGGCAGGCGUCAAGGGGGGUCGGGGAGCGCUGGCUUUCUCCCUUCUCUCCUAGUGAGGGCGGUUCGGCGUUCUUUUCCUUCCUCACGGUGUCAGUCGGAACCAGGUUAGCACUGCGGCGUCUGCACGAGGAGUGGUGCCAGUUGAGCUGUACUUGUAUUCUGUGUGUCAAGCAUGGCCCUGUUUUAGGGGAGAAGGACAUAUGGAGAAGGAGAGGAGAUACAGAAAAACCUUAAACAUUUUAUUAAGAUACUUAAGGAAAGCAUAACAGCUUCAGGAAAAUCGCUGUCUUUGAGGAGAGCAGAGAAUGAGAUGGGAAAAGUCUUCAACUGGCAGACUCUUAACCACUGGACCACAAAUGAUGCUUCCUAAAGCCCACUUGACUUCACAUUCCAGGAUGUCUGGCUCUAGGAAUGCUCCCAGCUUGGAGAUGGUGGACAGCUGCUGAGGGGUGAGGAAUCAACCAAGGCUGAGAUGCUCUCUGCAAAGGCCUCUCAGACAUUUACCCAUUGCCCAUCCUCCCAUCCACAUCAGCACCUGAAAAUAUCUUAGGCCAACAGGAAGGCAAGCACUGUGCUUCCAGCAAGCCAUGGCUCCUAUACCUGACUUCUGGAGUCCUGGUCCUGACAUUUUGCUCUGACAUAUUGAGGCCAUGUCUCUUGAUCUGUCUGUGUUGCCAGUUAUACAACCUCUUAUACAACUGGACCUAGGGAUUUUCCAUUUAUGUCUCCUUAAGGGUUUUCCAGGAAUAUUCCUGACUACAAUAUACAUCUUUUCCAUUCUCUCCUUUUCAUUCACAGGGAUGUCCAGUAAAGGGCAGGCACAGUUUAUGCAC